GUUCCCAUAGUUAAGAUUUUUUAACGGUGGCUUUUCAGGCCAUAGACCUUGGAGAAGGACCAAGUGGGAAUGU
Molecule: transfer RNA, 73 nt
Filed under: Bucorvus leadbeateri (southern ground hornbill)
Lineage: Eukaryota; Metazoa; Chordata; Aves; Bucerotiformes; Bucorvidae
Description: tRNA-Glu
Source: RNAcentral